UACGUGCGUUACCGAGAACGCGCCACGGCCGACUGCGGACUUGCGGAGUGCGGACGAACUGACACGACACGCGGACACGAUCACAAGUUUUAAACGCGGCACGCGAAAUGCAAUAAAUUUAAAUUACGAAUUCCAUACAAAUUUUAAAUUCGACACAACAAACAAGCAUCAUAGAUGCUACGAUACAAGAAAUUCCAAAUUCAACAUUUAAAAAAUCAUCCAGUUUUCAAACUUGAGACAACGAAUAGUAAUCAUAAAAAUCAGUGUACUUAAUAUCUUUGUUUAUAAACGAAACAAAUUACAGUAAAAAGUCGUUAGUAUGUUGAGUGAGUUCAUCAUUAUGUGCCUAACAAAGGGCUCUUCUUCGUUUCGUAAUUGAAUUAAUCCGUAAUUAGAGGCGAGAGAGCUCUUUAUGUUGAGUAGAGACGGAUUUGACAUUGCAGCCUGCCGUUGAAGUAAAUGGAAAUCUGUCAGUGUGACGACGGGAUUGAGGUGUGAGGGCAGGUACCUACAAGCCUACAACGCGAAAUUCAGGUCAACUAGGAAGACAGGUGGGCGAGCAAAGGCUGAGCCAGGAGGGGUGGAAUUUGCUAAGAGCUGCCCAGGCGCCUCCAAUAGAUACCUAACAACUCAAGAGCAGCUGGUUCGCGAAUGAAUCUACUACGAAGGCUCGUGCCCAUCAAUAUCUGGGACACGGGUAGGCUGUGUCACCAGGGGAGAAGCCGUAGGCCAAGACGUAAUCGUGUGCAGCCCGACCCAGGAGGUCAGAGAACCCUGGACCCCACCCACUCUUGGUGGUGAUCGUUAAAAUCUCCAAGGUCCACCGCCUCCGUAAAUGGUUCAAGCACGCGGUCAGUCCCCUUUUGUACAUACUCAAACACAGCUGACCCCGCAUCGCUGCUGUGGGAUCGGAGCGGGCACCUUUUCACUGGGUCUCCCUAUAUCCCCGUCAAACCAUCAUAUCCCGCGAGCUCACACGCAAUUCUGCCUGGCAUGUUCCAAAUAUCACCAAGAUUCAUCCCUAUCAAGGAAGAGGAAAGGGAAGGAAUAGAACUGACUCUCCAACCCACACGCCGGAACACAGACAGCUACGCUAUUUGGCGGCGGACUCUAGUUGGAGGAUGGUCGCCAGUUAGUCGGACAAGGUCUUACCACCGUGCCGAAAUUGGCACGACAUUUGUUUUAAAUAUUUUAGUUAUUGAUCUGAUAUCUUCAAGUGAUAUUUGAAAUGCUUAAGGUAUCAUUAAAAAUAAAUUAUAUUUGCUAUAACUAAA
Bombyx mori (domestic silkworm) is the source of this 1274-nucleotide long non-coding RNA. RefSeq lists it as uncharacterized. The transcript has 2 exons. Lineage: Eukaryota; Metazoa; Arthropoda; Insecta; Lepidoptera; Bombycidae. The record is from RefSeq and is a predicted model, not a curated record.